Molecule: long non-coding RNA, 1327 nt
Filed under: Chrysemys picta bellii (western painted turtle)
Lineage: Eukaryota; Metazoa; Chordata; Testudines; Emydidae
Description: lncRNA (ENSCPBG00000021556.1)
Source: RNAcentral
CGUGAGCGGAAGAAGGAAGCGUGCUAACUUGCAGCCCACUGUACUGUUUCUUGCGGAUCUUUGCAGGGAUGCAGAAUAGCAGGGCACAGAUCUCCAAUCACUCCCUGCCCCUGCCUUAUCUAGUCUGCCCACACCACACCUCUGCCUGGCCCAGCCUGCUCUGGGGCUCCUGCUGGCAGAGCUAGCUCAGCACCUGCACAUAGGAGUUUCCUGUGGUGGGAACACUGCCUGUGGGGAGGCCUACCUGCUCUGUACCCUCUCACAGCUGCCUAGCUGAGGUAAAAGGGCCACAGUAAAAUGAUUAACUGGGCCAUUGGGGUCAAAUUCAGAGCUGAUGUAAGUUGGGUACUACUGCAAAUCCUCCAGUGGUAUCACAGUCACUGACUCCAGGUUUGGAUUUGAUCCUCCAGGUCUCACUUUACCCUAUCUAUAAAAAUGGGCAUUAUUAUUUAUUAUCUGUAUUACUGGACCAGAACCCCUUUGUGCUAGGUGCUGUACAAACACAGAGAUGGGAGGACAGUUCCCACACUACCUAAGGCUAUCAUUGCCGACAGAUGGGAUUUGAAAAGCCAAAGCAAAGAAAGGGUGUCUGUUCUCCUUUAAGCCAAAGCAGGCAGGGCUGCAAGGAGAUGCAUUCCAGGAACGGCUGCUCCCUGCCAGGCUCUGGGUUUUCCUUCCCGUUACACACUAAGGAGGAAUGUGCAGAGCUGCUUGCCGGCCCACCGCUGCCUGGGGGGCUGCAGCUAACUUCGAAAUGCCGUGCAAAGAGGCCAGAGGUUUUCAUAGCCAUCUAAGGUUUACUAUUUCUCCCGAGCAACAGUUUUCUCUACCCAGCAUCUACAAAGUAGCUCACCAAUCAGGCCUGGGAAUAGGCCCUUUGAUAUCCAGACAAGCUACCCAGGAGGAGGAGGAAGGGGAAGGCAGAGAUGGAGUGCUGUGAAAAAGUCUUCAGUACGCUUUGCCCUUUGAUCAGCACUGUGCAUUACCAAAGAGCCCUUGUCUCUACAUCCCACUAGCAACUAUUCUUCAAAGGGUGCUAAAGAAUCAGUGUCAACAUUGGUAAACAGGAGCCUGUUAUGUGAACGCAAUGGAAUCUCUAGCACUACUCUUUUCACUGGGGAUUGACAAGACGCACACAUGGUCCCUUUACACCAUGUUGGAACCUUUGACCCUCCACCCCACUAAAAAGAAAGCUAAUCAAGCUCUCGUUCAGCUUGAGGGAUCACUUACCGCCUCAUAGUUCCUGCUCGUCUUCCUUGCACCACCCAAAAAAGCACUAAACUCUGACAGCUAUUGCAGCAUAAUAAACCAGAGCCGAGAGGCUGCA